GACGAACCGUGCGAACGUUGUUCGGAUUCACUGGGCUUAAAGGGCGCGUAGGCGGGUGCUCAAGUCUGUGGGGAAAUCCUCCAGCUUAACUGGAGAACUGCCAUGGAUACUGGGUGUCUCGAGGAACGUAGGGGUAUGCGGAACGAUUGGUGGAGCGGUGAAAUGCGUUGAUAUCAAUCGGAACUCCGGUGGCGAAGGCGGCAUACUGGACGUUAUCUGACGCUGAGGCGCGAAAGCUAGGGGAGCAAACGGG
This 253-nucleotide ribosomal RNA is filed under the name uncultured bacterium. RNAcentral describes it as "partial 16S ribosomal RNA". It matches the Rfam family "Bacterial small subunit ribosomal RNA", at positions 524 to 776 of the family's 1533-position model. The record is from RNAcentral.